AGGCCUAACACAUGCAAGUCGAACGGUAACAUUUCUAGCUUGCUAGAAGAUGACGAGUGGCGGACGGGUGAGUAAUACUUAGGAAUAUGCCUUUGUGUGGGGGAUAACUAUUGGAAACGAUAGCUAAUACCGCAUAAUGUCUUCGGACCAAAGGGGGCUUCGGCUCCCGCGCAAAGAGUAGCCUAAGCGAGAUUAGCUUGUUGGUGAGGUAAAGGCUCACCAAGGCGACGAUCUCUAGCUGUUCUGAGAGGAAGAUCAGCCACACUGGAACUGAGACACGGUCCAGACUCCUACGGGAGGCAGCAGUGGGGAAUAUUGCACAAUGGGGGAAACCCUGAUGCAGCCAUGCCGCGUGUGUGAAGAAGGCCUUCGGGUUGUAAAGCACUUUCAGUUGUGAGGAAAGGUUGAUGGUUAAUACCCAUUAGCUGUGACGUUAGCAACAGAAGAAGGACCGGCUAACUCCGUGCCAGCAGCCGCGGUAAUACGGAGGGUCCGAGCGUUAAUCGGAAUUACUGGGCGUAAAGCGCACGCAGGCGGUUUGUUAAGCUAGAUGUGAAAGCCCUGGCUCAACCUGGGAAUUGCAUUUAGAACUGCAGGCUAGAGUUUUGGAGAGGGGAGUGGAAUUCCAGGUGUACGGUGAAAUGCGUAGAUAUCUGGAGGAACAUAGUGGCGAAGCGACUCCCUGGCAGUAACUGACGCUCAUGUGCAAAGUGUGGUAGCGAACAGGAUAGAUACCCUGUAGUCACACCGUAAACGCUGCUACUAGCUGUUGUGGAUUAAUCCGGAGUAGC
This 791-nucleotide ribosomal RNA is filed under the name Glaciecola sp. R2-Sid-T25-6a. RNAcentral's name for it is "bacterial SSU rRNA". It matches the Rfam family "Bacterial small subunit ribosomal RNA", at positions 44 to 847 of the family's 1533-position model. The record is from RNAcentral. Lineage: Bacteria; Pseudomonadati; Pseudomonadota; Gammaproteobacteria; Alteromonadales; Alteromonadaceae.